UCAGAGCGAACGCUGGCGGCAGGCUAAUACAUGCAAGUCGAACGGCCGUAGCAAUACGGCAGUGGCAGACGGGUGAGUAACACGUGGGAAUGUACCUCUCGGUUCGGAAUAACCCAGGGAAACUUGGGCUAAUACCGGAUACGCCCUUACGGGGAAAGAUUUAUCGCCGAGAGAUCAGCCCGCGUCCGAUUAGCUAGUUGGUGGGGUAAUGGCCCACCAAGGCGACGAUCGGUAGCUGGUCUGAGAGGAUGAUCAGCCACACUGGGACUGAGAUACGGCCCAGACUCCUACGGGGGGCAGCAGUCUAGAGGCUUCGGCAAUGGGGGCAACCCUGACCGAGCGACGCCGCGUGUGGGAUUGAAGGCCUUCGGGUCGUAAACCACUGUCAUGAGGGAAGAAUACCGGAAUGGCGAAUUCCGGGGCGACGGUACCUCAGGAGGAAGCCCCGGCUAACUCCGUGCCAGCAGCCGCGGUAAUACGGAGGGGGCAAGCGUUGUUCGGAUUUACUGGGCGUAAAGGGUGUGUAGGCGGUUGCGCAAGUCUGGUGUGAAAUCUUCACCGCUUAACGGGAAGAGGUCACUGGAAACUGCGUAACUCGAGUGUGGUAGAGGCAAGCGGAAUUCCUGGUGUAGCGGUGGAAUGUGUAGAUAUCAGGAAGAACACCUGUGGCGAAGGCGGCUUGCUGGGCCAUCACUGACGCUGAGACACGAAAGCGUGGGGAGCAAACGGGAUUAGAUACCCCGGUAGUCCACGCUGUAAACGGUGCGCACUAGGUGUGGGAGGUAUCGACCCCUCC
RNAcentral lists this ribosomal RNA (796 nucleotides) under uncultured soil bacterium. RNAcentral describes it as "bacterial SSU rRNA". It matches the Rfam family "Bacterial small subunit ribosomal RNA", at positions 24 to 841 of the family's 1533-position model. The record is from RNAcentral.